This 264-nucleotide ribosomal RNA is filed under the name uncultured Glomus. RNAcentral describes it as "partial 18S ribosomal RNA". It matches the Rfam family "Eukaryotic small subunit ribosomal RNA", at positions 624 to 885 of the family's 1831-position model. Lineage: Eukaryota; Fungi; Glomeromycota; Glomeromycetes; Glomerales; Glomeraceae. The record is from RNAcentral.
AAGCUCGUAGUUGAAUUUCGGGAUUGACGUAAUGGUCAUGCCUUAAGGGGUAUGAACUGUUACUGUUGAUUUCUCACCUUCUGGAGAAACUUGAUGUCCUUUAUUGGGUGUCUUGCGGAUCCAGGACCUUUACCUUGAAAAAAUUAGAGUGUUUAAAGCAGGCAUUUUUGCUCGAAUACAUUAGCAUGGAAUAAUAGAAUAGGACGGCAUGGUUCUAUUUUGUUGGUUUCUAGGAUCACCGUAAUGAUUAAUGGGAUAGUUGGG